Molecule: ribosomal RNA, 246 nt
Filed under: uncultured Pseudomonas sp.
Lineage: Bacteria; Pseudomonadati; Pseudomonadota; Gammaproteobacteria; Pseudomonadales; Pseudomonadaceae
Description: partial 16S ribosomal RNA
Rfam family: Bacterial small subunit ribosomal RNA
Source: RNAcentral
CACGCCGUAAACGAUGUCAACUAGUUGUUGGGUUCCUUGAGGACUUAGUAACGCAGCUAACGCAUUAAGUUGACCGCCUGGGGAGUACGGCCGCAAGGUUAAAACUCAAAUGAAUUGACGGGGGCCCGCACAAGCGGUGGAGCAUGUGGUUUAAUUCGAAGCAACGCGAAGAACCUUACCUGGCCUUGACAUGCUAAGAACUUUCCAGAGAUGGAUUGGUGCCUUCGGGAACUCAGACACAGGUGC